UCAGUUUCUUCAACUGAAAAAUGAGAAUCGCGUUCACCCACUCUGCCUGUCAGGACUCUGGUGAGAAUCCAGUUAGAUGGACUGUUACGAUGCCUGAGAGCAACGACUAUUUGGACAGUGUCUUGCUGUAUACCCACACGGUCUCACGUGUCCUUCCAGCAACCCCAUGAGGAGGAGCCUAAUCCCUUCUUGUUGAAUGUGGGCUGUACUUAGUGACUUACUUCUAAUGAAGAAAACAUGCCAGAAACGAUGGCCUGUGACUUCUGGACCUGGGCUAUAGAGCACACUGGCUUUUGUCCCCCCCUCCCCAAGCCCCGCCUCUUUGAUCACUUGAUCUGGGAGAAGCCUGUGGCUGUCAUGUCAUGAGGACAGUCAAGCAGCCCCAUGGAGAGGCCUGGAUGGUGAUGACCUGAGUCCUCCUGCCAACAGCCAUAUGAGUGCACCGUCUGGGAAGCAACCCUCCAGUCCCCAGUCAGGCUCCCAUAUGACUGCAGCUUUGGCUGACACUUAACUGUAUCGAGUGACCCUGAGCCAGAACCACCAGCUAAGAAGCUCCAGCAUUCAGGACCCACAGAAACUGCGAGCAAUGAAAGAAGCAAGAUCGUUGAACCAUGUCUACAGGCUAUUGAGGGAAACAGGCUGUGAAUCAAUAAUCCUAAGUCCAGCACGGGCAUCAUUCAUCUGGCAGCGUAAAAGGAAAACAUUUUCAAACAUACGAAGAGUCAGAAAAACUACCACACAUAGACUCCACCCAACGAAAAUAUUUUAUCAAAUCGAGAAUGAAAUUGGAAUAGAGAGCCUCAAGACAGAGAAGUGGGACAGUCCAGGAGACGGUGGUGAGCAGUGACUCUGACUACACACAUAAUUAAAACUAAAGGGAUGCUAAUAACAUGCCUGGGAUCUCUAGUACCAAGUGAGGAGGAUUCUUGAAACAGAUGAAACACACAAUUAGGCAAAACCUAAAAACAGACUGUAGCCUUAGAAAUUAUCUUGCUCCUUGUGAUUCUGUUUGUGAUUAGGUAAGAAUUGGUAUAAAACAUUUUGCCAGAUGCAAGCAUGAAUGUGGGCUGGCAAGAGAGGAAAUAAAAGCAAACAGUCUUUGUAUUAAAAUCAAAUACAGAACAACUGGAGAGUAGAUAAGUAACCAACUAGAUCUAACAGACAUACAGAGCACAUUCUACCCAAAGGCAGCAGCGUGCAUUCUUCUCAAGUGCAUGCGGGAUAUUUUCCAGGACAGAGCAUGUGAUAGAGCUACAAAUGAAGUCCCAAUAGAUUUUAAAUGAUAGAUACUAUACAAAGUAUCUUCUGUGACCACAGCAGGGUGAGUUAGAAAUCAGCAACAGAAGUAAAACUGGAAAAUUCUCACAUUUGUGGAAAUUAAACAACACUCUUAAACAACCAAUGGAUCAAAGAAGAAAUCACAAGGGAAAUUAGAAAAUACUUAGAGAUGAAUGAAAAAAAUGCAACGUAACAAAACUCAUCAGUCAAUUAUACCUCGAUUAAAAAAAUUAAAAUUUAAAUAAAAUACUUAGAUGCAGUGAAAGCAGUGCUAACGGGGCCAUUUAUAGCUAUACAUGUUUACAUAAAAAAACAAGAAAGAUCUCAAAUUAAAAGCCUAAUUUUAGAGUUUAAGAAAUAAGAAAAGGAACAAACUAAACCCAAAGCUCGUAGGAGGAAGGAAACAAUAAAGAUUAGAGUGAAGAUAAAUGAAAUAGGGAACAGAAAAAUAAUAAAGGUCAAUGAAACCAAAAGUUGGUUCUGUGACAAGAUCAACAAAGCUGACAAACCUUUAGCUGCACGGAACAGGGGGCAAAAGAGAGAAGACUCAGAGCACUAAGAUCGGAAAUGAAAGUGAGGACAUCACAACUGGUUUUACAGAAAUAAAAGAAAUUAUGUGUGUGUGUGUGUGUGUGUGUGAGACAGAGAGAGAGGAAAUGAAGUAUAAUAUUGAUAUCUAGAAAUGUUUGUAUGAGCAGUUUUGACCCCCAAAAGUUAACUGACCUUAGAUUACCAGUGUCAAUAUUUACAUACUACUUUGGAAUUCACCUUCCUCUAGUCAUUGGAAA
Non-coding RNA from Vicugna pacos (alpaca), 2066 nucleotides. The record is from RefSeq and is a predicted model, not a curated record. Lineage: Eukaryota; Metazoa; Chordata; Mammalia; Artiodactyla; Camelidae.